CCUACGGGAGGCAGCAGUGAGGAAUAUUGGUCAAUGGGCUCACGCCUGAACCAGCCAAGUCGCGUGAGGGAUGACUGUCCUACGGGUUGUAAACCUCUUUUGCCAGGGAGCAAGCGUGCCUACGUGAACGCGCGUCGAGAGUACCCGAAGAAAAAGCAUCGGCUAACUCCGUGCCAGCAGCCGCGGUAAUACGGAGGAUGCGAGCGUUAUCCGGAUUUAUUGGGUUUAAAGGGUGCGUAGGCGGGAUGCCAAGUCAGCGGUAAAAGUGCGGGGCUCAACGCCGUUGAGCCGUUGAAACUGGCGUUGUUGAGUGGGCGAGAAGUAUGCGGAAUGCGUGGUGUAGCGGUGAAAUGCAUAGAUAUCACGCAGAACUCCGAUUGCGAAGGCAGCAUACCGGCGCCCUACUGACGCUGAGGCACGAAAGCGUGGGUAUCGAACAGGAUUAGAUACCCGGGUAGUC
Molecule: ribosomal RNA, 460 nt
Filed under: uncultured bacterium
Lineage: Bacteria
Description: partial 16S ribosomal RNA
Rfam family: Bacterial small subunit ribosomal RNA
Source: RNAcentral